CCGGCGCACGGGUCGAGUAACGCGUAUGCGACCUGCCCGUUGCAGGGGGGAUAAUCGGGAGAAAUCCCGUCUAAUACCGCGUAACGCCGCGGGGCUGCAUGGCCCUGCGGCCAAAGGGAGCGAUUCCGGCAACGGAUGGGCAUGCGUGACAUUAGCUAGUUGGCGGGGCAACGGCCCACCAAGGCGACGAUGUCUAGGGGUUCUGAGAGGAAGGUCCCCCACACUGGUACUGAGACACGGACCAGACUCCUACGGAAGGCAGCAG
RNAcentral lists this ribosomal RNA (265 nucleotides) under uncultured bacterium. RNAcentral's name for it is "partial 16S ribosomal RNA". It matches the Rfam family "Bacterial small subunit ribosomal RNA", at positions 95 to 354 of the family's 1533-position model. The record is from RNAcentral.